Gavialis gangeticus (Gharial) is the source of this 1159-nucleotide long non-coding RNA. RefSeq lists it as uncharacterized. NCBI's taxonomy places the organism in Eukaryota, Metazoa, Chordata, Crocodylia, Gavialidae. The transcript has 3 exons. The record is from RefSeq and is a predicted model, not a curated record.
AUCCCCCCCUCCUCCCCAACCCACCUUCAUCUAGCUAGGAAAGGCAAAAUGAAAGAGAAAAGAUCACGGUAACAUGACAUGAGGUUUAUUAGAAAUCUGUUUAGAAAGAGGAGGUCGAGAUGGCAAAAUUAUGGACACCUCGGCGUCAGACAGAAAUCAAAUGCCAACAUUUCUGAGAAGCAAUAUUUAUUGUCAUUUUUUUUUUCUUUUCAAUGUAAAGACAUGUCCUGAAUUUCCCCAAAAGCCUAGAUGGGGAAAAUAAAGACUUCUUGGCGUUUAUAAGUAAAUCCGUCUGCAGAAUUGAAGCAGCACCAACAUUCAAAAAAAACUGAAGAGGAAAAUACAACAAAACACAACAAUCUUUUUUUUUUUAUUCUUAUUAUUAUUUAUGUAAAUCAGGUCAUCACUGGACAAGAAACCGAUUUCUACCCAUUACCAUAACAGCUUGUCUAUAAAGAACAGAAAAAAAAAAUUCCGAUAGGAUACUAUCUAGAGUCAAGCUUUUUUUUUCUUUUUUUUUUUCUUUUUAAAUUCCCCCACCCAUUCACAGAGGUAUAGAUUCACAGAUAAAUAACCCAAAAACUACUUGCUCGCCAUAUUUACACAUUCCCAUUAAAUUAAGCAUAAAUAAAUAUAUACAAACUCAACAUUGAAUGCCUCUCCGCAUUUCUUCUUAGGAAGAGUCGAUUAACUGAUAUUUCUCACUGCAUGGUAAGACUAUUCAAGAGGAGGUGGUGAAGAGGAAUCAGUUUUGGCAUAGACAGGAAGAUGGUGUAAAUUUGCACCGCUUCUGUUUUUAUUUUCCUUUUCUUUCUUUUUUUCUUUUUUUACCGCUAUUUUUUUUUUUUUUUUGCUAGCUUUUAUUUGGCACACAAUAUUCAGGCUCUUCAGUCCCAUCUAAGUGAGGGGUUUUAAUCGUUUCUUUUUUUACCUUUUAUGUAAGAAAACUCCAGCCCUGUGAGUGUCCCUUUCCUAGGUUUAAUCGGAAAGUGUAUUUUGCUGGAACACAAGGUAACAGAAAAUUGCUUUUUUUUUUAAAUAUAGAUCUGGCCACGUUGGUGUCAGGCUGUCGUGAGCAUGAAUGUGUCAAAGUGAGGAUUUUUGGUUUCUUUCAGUGUGAGCUUAAAAGGGGAAAACUAAUACCUUAAUGGAAACCGUC